This 328-nucleotide ribosomal RNA is filed under the name bacterium Fuku2-ISO-89. Its description in RNAcentral is "bacterial SSU rRNA". It matches the Rfam family "Bacterial small subunit ribosomal RNA", at positions 330 to 670 of the family's 1533-position model. The record is from RNAcentral.
CCCAGACUCCUACGGGAGGCAGCAGUGGGGAAUAUUGCACAAUGGGCGCAAGCCUGAUGCAGCGACGCCGCGUGGGGGAUGACGGCCUUCGGGUUGUAAACCUCUUUCAGUAGGGACGAAGCGCAAGUGACGGUACCUACAGAAGAAGCACCGGCCAACUACGUGCCAGCAGCCGCGGUAAUACGUAGGGUGCGAGCGUUGUCCGGAAUUACUGGGCGUAAAGAGCUUGUAGGUGGUUUGUCGCGUUGUUCGUGAAAUCUCACGGCUUAACUGUGAGCGUGCGGGCGAUACGGGCAGACUAGAGUACUGCAGGGGAGACUGGAAUUCC